RNAcentral lists this small nucleolar RNA (153 nucleotides) under Chlamydomonas reinhardtii. RNAcentral describes it as "CrACA36b snoRNA". Lineage: Eukaryota; Viridiplantae; Chlorophyta; Chlorophyceae; Chlamydomonadales; Chlamydomonadaceae. The record is from RNAcentral.
CGCCUUUAUAAAGGUGCUGGGUAGCGUACAAAGCCGCGCCAGCACCCGACCAAGGGCGGCAAAGGAAAACGAGCGCACACUAUGGCCGCUUAAACAGGGCGGGCGAGGGCCGUCUCGGCGUGCGCCUCCGCCUUGUGCCGCGGCCAGACAUUU